This 68-nucleotide transfer RNA is filed under the name Tribolium audax (American black flour beetle). RNAcentral's name for it is "tRNA-Leu". Lineage: Eukaryota; Metazoa; Arthropoda; Insecta; Coleoptera; Tenebrionidae. The record is from RNAcentral.
UCUAUUAUGGCAGACUAGUGCAAUGGAUUUAAACCCCAUAUAUAAAGUUCUCAAUACUUUUUUUAGAA